RNAcentral lists this ribosomal RNA (449 nucleotides) under uncultured bacterium. RNAcentral's name for it is "partial 16S ribosomal RNA". It matches the Rfam family "Bacterial small subunit ribosomal RNA", at positions 29 to 523 of the family's 1533-position model. The record is from RNAcentral.
AGCGAACGCUGGCGGAAUGCUUAACACAUGCAAGUCGCACGCCCUGCAAGGGGAGUGGCGGACGGGUGAGUAACGCGUAGGAAUCUGUCCCGAGGUGGGGGACAACCCUGGGAAACCGGGGCUACUACCGCAUAUGGGCUGAGGCCCAAAGCAGUGAUGCGCCUUUGGAGUAGCCUGCGUCCGAUUAGCUUGUUGGUGGGGUAAAGGCUUACCAAGGCGACGAUCGGUAGCUGGUCUGAGAGGACGACCAGCCACACUGGGACUGAGACACGGCCCAGACUCCUACGGGAGGCAGCAGUGGGGAAUAUUGGACAAUGGGCGCAAGCCUGAUCCAGCAAUUCCGCGUGGGUGAAGAAGGUCUUCGGAUUGUAAAGCCCUUUCGACGGGGACGAUGAUGACGGUACCCGUAGAAGAAGCCCCGGCUAACUUCGUGCCAGCCGCCGCGGUAA